This 254-nucleotide ribosomal RNA is filed under the name uncultured bacterium. Its description in RNAcentral is "partial 16S ribosomal RNA". It matches the Rfam family "Bacterial small subunit ribosomal RNA", at positions 524 to 776 of the family's 1533-position model. The record is from RNAcentral.
GACAGAGGAGCCAAGCGUUGUUCGGAUUUACUGGGCGUGAAGGGCGCGUAGGCGGCCACCGCAAGUCGACUGUGAAAUCUCCGGGCUUAACCCGGAAAGGUCAGCCGAUACUGCGGGGCUAGAGUGCAGAAGGGGCAACUGGAAUUCUCGGUGUAGCGGUGAAAUGCGUAGAUAUCGAGAGGAACACCUGCGGCGAAGGCGGGUUGCUGGGCUGACACUGACGCUGAUGCGCGAAAGCUAGGGGAGCGAACGGG